Molecule: ribosomal RNA, 488 nt
Filed under: uncultured bacterium
Lineage: Bacteria
Description: bacterial SSU rRNA
Rfam family: Bacterial small subunit ribosomal RNA
Source: RNAcentral
GACGAACGCUGGCGGCGUGGAUUAGGCAUGCAAGUCGAACGGUAGGAUACCUUCGGGUAUCUGAGAGUGGCGAACGGGUGAGUAACACGUAGGUGAUCUACCCUCAAGAUUGGGACAACCCAGGGAAACUUGGGCUAAUACCGGAUGAAAGCAGCAGUGAUGUUGUUUGAAAGGUGGCGUAAGCUGCCGUUUGGGGAUGAGCCUGCGCUCUAUUAGUUAGUUGGCGGGGUAAAGGCCCACCAAGGCGAUGAUAGAUAGGCGGCCUUAACGGGUGGUCGCCCACACUGGGAUUGAGAGACGGCCCAGACUCCUACGGGAGGCAGCAGUCGAGAAUAGUCUACAAUGGACGGAAGUCUGAUAGUGCGACGCCGCGUGAACGAAGAAUCCCUUCGGGGUGUAAAGUUCUUUUAUACGUGAGCAGUGCCCUUUAUAUGAAUAGUAUAGAGGGAGGGAUUUAAGCGUAUGAAUAAGCAACGGCUAACUCCGUG